This 543-nucleotide ribosomal RNA is filed under the name uncultured Glomeromycotina. RNAcentral describes it as "SSU rRNA". It matches the Rfam family "Eukaryotic small subunit ribosomal RNA", at positions 552 to 1096 of the family's 1831-position model. The record is from RNAcentral. Lineage: Eukaryota; Fungi; Glomeromycota.
AGGGCAAGUCUGGUGCCAGCAGCCGCGGUAAUUCCAGCUCCAAUAGCGUAUAUUAAAGUUGUUGCAGUUAAAAAGCUCGUAGUUGAAUUUCGGGGUUAGUAGGUUGGUCAUGCCACUGGUAUGUACUGAUCUUACUGAUUCCUCCUUCCUGAUGAACCGUAAUGCCAUUAAUUUGGUGUUGCGGGGAGACUGGACUGUUACUUUGAAAAAAUUAGAGUGUUUAAAGCAGGCUAACGCUUGAAUACAUUAGCAUGGAAUAAUGAAAUAGGUCGUUCGAUCCUAUUUUGUUGGUUUCUAGGAUUGACGUAAUGAUUAAUAGGGAUAGUUGGGGGCAUUAGUAUUCAAUUGUCAGAGGUGAAAUUCUUGGAUUUAUUGAAGACUAACUACUGCGAAAGCAUUUGCCAAGGAUGUUUUCAUUAAUCAAGAACGAAAGUUAGGGGAUCGAAGACGAUCAGAUACCGUCGUAGUCUUAACCAUAAACUAUGCCGACUAGGGAUCGGAUGAUGUUAAUUUUUUAAUGACUCAUUCGGCGCCUUACGGGAA